Molecule: ribosomal RNA, 466 nt
Filed under: uncultured bacterium
Lineage: Bacteria
Description: bacterial SSU rRNA
Rfam family: Bacterial small subunit ribosomal RNA
Source: RNAcentral
AAUCAACGCUGGCGGCGUGCCUCAGACAUGCAAGUCGAACGAUUAAAGCUCUCUUCGGAGAGUGUAUAGAGUGGCGCACGGGUGAGUAACACGUAAGUAAUCUACCCUCGAGUGGGGAAUAACGUCCGGAAACGGACGCUAAUACCGCAUAAUGCAGCGGCACCGCAAGGUGACAGUUGUUAAAGAUUUAUCGCUUGAGGAGGAGCUUGCGGCAGAUUAGCUAGUUGGUAAGGUAAUGGCUUACCAAGGCUACGAUCUGUAACCGGUCUAAGAGGACGGUCGGUCACACUGACACUGAAUAACGGGUCAGACUCCUACGGGAGGCAGCAGUCGGGAAUUUUGGGCAAUGGGCGAAAGACCUGACCCAGCAACGCCGCGUGAAGGAUGAAGUAUUUCGGUAUGUAAACUUCGAAAGAAUAGGAAGAAUAAAUGACGGUACUAUUUAUAAGGUCCGGCUAACUACGUG